Molecule: long non-coding RNA, 313 nt
Filed under: Numida meleagris (helmeted guineafowl)
Lineage: Eukaryota; Metazoa; Chordata; Aves; Galliformes; Numididae
Description: lncRNA (ENSNMEG00000006343.1)
Source: RNAcentral
UGUCUCCAGUCCUGGUUGUCCUGAGUUAUCCCAGUGCCUCUGGGUCCAGUUAUCCCAGUCCUCCAGGUCCAGUAGUCCCGGGUUAUCCAAGUUCCAGUGCCUCCAGUCCUGGUAGUCCUGGGUUAUCCCAGUCCUAGUGCCUGCAGCCCGGGUUAUCCCAGGUUAUCCCAGUCCUCCAGAUCCAGUUGUCCCAGUUUAUCCCAGUCCUGGUGCCUGCAGCCUGGGUUGUCCCGGGUUAUCCCAGUCCCGGUGCCCCCAGACCCGGUUGUCCCAGGUUAUCCCAGUCCUGGUGCCUCCAGACCCAGUUGCCCCG